This 72-nucleotide transfer RNA is filed under the name Dallia pectoralis (Alaska blackfish). Its description in RNAcentral is "tRNA-OTHER". It matches the Rfam family "tRNA". From Rfam's summary of the family: Transfer RNA (tRNA) molecules are approximately 80 nucleotides in length. Lineage: Eukaryota; Metazoa; Chordata; Actinopteri; Esociformes; Umbridae. The record is from RNAcentral.
GCCGUGAUCGUAUAGUGGUUAGUACUCUGCGUUGUGGCCACAGCAACCCCGUUUCGAAUCCUGGUCAUAGCA